This 253-nucleotide ribosomal RNA is filed under the name uncultured bacterium. RNAcentral describes it as "partial 16S ribosomal RNA". It matches the Rfam family "Bacterial small subunit ribosomal RNA", at positions 524 to 776 of the family's 1533-position model. The record is from RNAcentral.
UACGAACCGUGCGAACGUUGUUCGGAAUCACUGGGCUUAAAGGGCGCGUAGGUGGUUUGCCAAGUCGGGGUUGAAAUCUUUCGGCUUAACCGGAAAAGUGGCUUCGAUACUGGCAAGCUGGAGGGAGGUAGGGGCGGAUGGAACUUCCGAUGGAGCGGUGAAAUGUGUUGAUAUCGGAAGGAACGCCGGUGGCGAAAGCGAUCCGCUGGACCUCUUCUGACACUGAGGCGCGAAAGCCAGGGGAGCAAACGGG